CAGUCGUGACCGAGAGGCUCAGCCGGCUCUGCCGGUGUAUUCCCCUCGGUCGGGUCAACAUCAGUUUUGUCCGGUGGAUAAGGGCGUUAGGAAGGUAGCUCCCACGGGAGUGUUAUAGCCUGACGUCGCAUACACUGGGUGAGACUGAGGAAUGCAGCUCGCCUUUACAGGCCGGGGUUCGCCCACGUCCGAGCUUAGGAUGUUGACAUAAUGGCUUUAAACGACCCGUCUUGAAACACGGACC
RNAcentral lists this ribosomal RNA (244 nucleotides) under Glomus cf. clarum. The record is from RNAcentral. Lineage: Eukaryota; Fungi; Glomeromycota; Glomeromycetes; Glomerales; Glomeraceae.